Molecule: long non-coding RNA, 451 nt
Filed under: Medicago truncatula (barrel medic)
Lineage: Eukaryota; Viridiplantae; Streptophyta; Magnoliopsida; Fabales; Fabaceae
Description: lncRNA gene46260
Source: RNAcentral
UGUGUAACUACUGAGACUCGUGUCAUCUCAACUAAUUGCGGUUAAGUUGAUAUAUAUCAAUGAAAAUAAAAUGAAGCAAGAGGUUGUUAUUAUUAUUAUGUAAUAAAGAAAGAAAAGAACCUGUAGGUGAGGUUAGUGGUGGUAAGUGAACGGAAAAUUCGGGAACUUAGUCCUCUCAACAUGGCCAUUGUUGGAUGAAGUUCCGAACAAUUAGCGGAUGAAAAUUUGGAUCCGACCCGAUUGAAGAUCCGGAGUUGAAGAGUGAGGGAAAACGGAGGGAGAAGAGAAGGAAUAAAUAGGAGACAGACAGAGAAUGAAUAGGGCGGUGGGAUGAUGGGAAUGGUGAGAGGAUCGAGGUGUGAUUUAAUUAGGUGACACUCAGUUGAUAAGUUUAAAGAAAUUACAUUUAUAUAUGGAGAUAAUUUUGAUCGCAUAAUUUAACAACUUUUGA